This 433-nucleotide ribosomal RNA is filed under the name uncultured bacterium. RNAcentral's name for it is "partial 16S ribosomal RNA". It matches the Rfam family "Bacterial small subunit ribosomal RNA", at positions 29 to 507 of the family's 1533-position model. The record is from RNAcentral.
AACGAACGCUGGCGGCAUGCCUAACACAUGCAAGUCGAACGAGACCUUCGGGUCUAGUGGCGCACGGGUGCGUAACGCGUGGGAAUCUACCCUCAGGUUCGGAAUAACUCAGAGAAAUUUGAGCUAAUACCGGAUGAUGACGUAAGUCCAAAGAUUUAUCGCCUGAGGAUGAGCCCGCUUAGGAUUAGGUAGUUGGUGAGGUAAAGGGUCACCAAGCCGACGAUCCUUAGCUGGUCUGAGAGGAUGAUCAGCCACACUGGGACUGAGACACGGCCCAGACUCCUACGGGAGGCAGCAGUGGGGAAUAUUGGACAAUGGGCGAAAGCCUGAUCCAGCAAUGCCGCGUGAGUGAUGAAGGCCUUAGGGUUGUAAAGCUCUUUUACCCGGGAUGAUAAUGACAGUACCGGGAGAAUAAGCUCCGGCUAACUCCGUG